UCGGUACGCGCGGAUCUUCCAGAGAUUAGAGUUUGAUCCUGGCUCAGGACGAACGCUGGCGGCGUGCUUAACACGUGCAAGUUGAACGGUACUCCAUGGAAGCUUGCUGAAGUGGAGUAUAGUAGCGGACGGGUGAGUAAUGCAUGAGAAGCUGCCAUUGGGAGGGGGACAACAGCUGGAAACGGCUGCUAAUGCCCCGUAUGCCGGAAGGUGAAAGGGAUUUAUCCCGCCCGAUGAGGUGCUCAUGUCCUAUCAGCUAGUUGGUGAGGUAACGGCUCACCAAGGCGACGACGGGUAGCCGGCCUGAGAGGGUGAACGGCCACACUGGAACUGAGACACGGUCCAGACUCCUACGGGAGGCAGCAGUGGGGAAUAUUGGGCAAUGGGGGCAACCCUGACCCAGCGACGCCGCGUGAAGGACGAAGGCCUUCGGGUUGUAAACUUCUUUGAUCGAGGACGAUAAUGACGGUACUCGAGGAACAAGCCACGGCUAACUACGUGCCAGCAGCCGCGGUAAUACGUAGGGGGCAAGCGUUAUCCGGAUUUACUGGGUGUAAAGGGCGUGUAGGCGGGUUUCCAAGUCGGAUGUGAAAAGGCAU
This 599-nucleotide ribosomal RNA is filed under the name uncultured bacterium. RNAcentral describes it as "bacterial SSU rRNA". It matches the Rfam family "Bacterial small subunit ribosomal RNA", at positions 1 to 605 of the family's 1533-position model. The record is from RNAcentral.